This is a non-coding RNA of Nicotiana tabacum (common tobacco), 409 nucleotides long. NCBI's taxonomy places the organism in Eukaryota, Viridiplantae, Streptophyta, Magnoliopsida, Solanales, Solanaceae. The record is from RefSeq and is a predicted model, not a curated record.
UCGCCUAUCAGUUUCAAAAUGAUCCUUGCUUGGUUCUAUGUUACUGGCAAUGAUAGAUUAACAUCACUGAAGCUUCAGCUAAAAUUUGCAAUAAGGUAACAGUCGUCAAUUCUUCUAAUAUAGUCUAUUUAAACAUUUGUGGGAAGCUUCGGUUAAACAUUCUAUGUACUAAUCCCAUUAUGUCGGCCGUUUCAACUUAAAACCCAGGGUUGGGUUUUAUUGAAUUGGGUUUUCCUUGACACCUGAUGCAACUCUUUUAUUGCCUGAACAAAGUCAAGAUCUUGAAUUGUUUUGGUGGAGCCUUUUGUCGGAGCUCUAAAACCAAAAUAUAAGAUUGAACUUCUUCCGUAAGAUUCACUUUUUCAUCCGGCCCGGUCAUGAUGGCGCCUCUCGUGAAGACAAGGUCAGC